UGCUCGAGUGGCGAACGGGUGAGUAACACGUGAGUAACCUGCCCUUGACUUUGGGAUAACUUCAGGAAACUGGGGCUAAUACCGGAUAGGAGCUCCUGCUGCAUGGUGGGGGUUGGAAAGUUUCGGCGGUUGGGGAUGGACUCGCGGCUUAUCAGCUUGUUGGUGGGGUAGUGGCUUACCAAGGCUUUGACGGGUAGCCGGCCUGAGAGGGUGUACGGCCACAUUGGGACUGAGAUACGGCCCAG
Molecule: ribosomal RNA, 245 nt
Filed under: uncultured Actinomycetales bacterium
Lineage: Bacteria; Bacillati; Actinomycetota; Actinomycetes; Actinomycetales
Description: partial 16S ribosomal RNA
Rfam family: Bacterial small subunit ribosomal RNA
Source: RNAcentral